Molecule: long non-coding RNA, 253 nt
Organism: Bradysia coprophila
Lineage: Eukaryota; Metazoa; Arthropoda; Insecta; Diptera; Sciaridae
Source: RefSeq, a predicted model, not a curated record
UUCAAUAAAUAUUUUUAGAAUAAACUGGGCUCAAAAUAACAUUUUAUAUUCUGUGUGGUUCAAGAGUUUUUCUUGUUCCACACGAUCCACAGCGCUUUGAAAGCUAAUUUAAUAGCCAUGUCCUGCUGCCCUCUCAUUCAAUUUAGUCGAAGCUAUCAAUUUCACUUGAGACAAUACAUACAAAUUUUUCGGUUGAAAAAUUACUGUACCAACUACAUAAAUACCGACCGAUUUAAAUGAAAAGUGAUACAAG